RNAcentral lists this ribosomal RNA (484 nucleotides) under uncultured bacterium. RNAcentral's name for it is "partial 16S ribosomal RNA". It matches the Rfam family "Bacterial small subunit ribosomal RNA", at positions 30 to 507 of the family's 1533-position model. The record is from RNAcentral.
AUUGAACGCUGGCGGCAGGCCUAACACAUGCAAGUCGAGCGGAUGAAGGGAGCUUGCUCCUGGAUUCAGCGGCGGACGGGUGAGUAAUGCCUAGGAAUCUGCCUGGUAGUGGGGGAUAACGUCCGGAAACGGGCGCUAAUACCGCAUACGACCUGAGGGUGAAAGUGGGGGAUCGUCGGACCUCACGCUAUCAGAUGAGCCUAGGUCGGAUUAGCUAGUUGGUGGGGUAAAGGCCUACCAAGGCGACGAUCCGUAACUGGUCUGAGAGGAUGAUCAGUCACACUGGAACUGAGACACGGUCCAGACUCCUACGGGAGGCAGCAGUGGGGAAUAUUGGGCAAUGGGCGAAAGCCUGAUCCAGCCAUGCCGCGUGUGUGAAGAAGGUCUUCGGAUUGUAAAGCACUGUAAGUUGGGAGGAAGGGCAGUAAGUUAAUACCUUGCUGUUUUGACGUUACCAACAGAAUAAGCACCGGCUAACUACGUG